Molecule: ribosomal RNA, 226 nt
Filed under: uncultured bacterium
Lineage: Bacteria
Description: partial 16S ribosomal RNA
Rfam family: Bacterial small subunit ribosomal RNA
Source: RNAcentral
GCGUUAAUCGGAAUUACUGGGCGUAAAGCGUGCGCAGGCGGUUCGGAAAGAAAGAUGUGAAAUCCCAGAGCUUAACUUUGGAACUGCAUUUUUAACCACCGGGCUAGAGUGUGUCAGAGGGAGGUGGAAUUCCGCGUGUAGCAGUGAAAUGCGUAGAUAUGCGGAGGAACACCGAUGGCGAAGGCAGCCUCCUGGGAUAACACUGACGCUCAUGCACGAAAGCGUG